This 255-nucleotide ribosomal RNA is filed under the name uncultured bacterium. RNAcentral's name for it is "partial 16S ribosomal RNA". It matches the Rfam family "Bacterial small subunit ribosomal RNA", at positions 524 to 776 of the family's 1533-position model. The record is from RNAcentral.
UACGAAGGAUGCAAGCGUUGUCCGGAAUUAUUGGGCGUAAAGAGCGCGCAGGCGGUAUGACAAGUCAGAUGUGAAAGAGGCCGGCUUAACCGGCAAGGGUCAUUUGAAACUGUCAGACUAGAGUGCAGCAGAGGAUAGUGGAAUUCCCGGAUGUAGUGGUGAAAUGCGUAGAUAUCGGGAGGAACACCAGUGGCGAAGGCGACUAUCUGGGCUGCAACUGACGCUGAGGCGACGAAGGCUAGGGUAGCAAACAGG